Molecule: ribosomal RNA, 254 nt
Filed under: Escherichia coli
Lineage: Bacteria; Pseudomonadati; Pseudomonadota; Gammaproteobacteria; Enterobacterales; Enterobacteriaceae
Description: partial 23S ribosomal RNA
Rfam family: Bacterial large subunit ribosomal RNA
Source: RNAcentral
GGACCGGAGUGGACGCAUCACUGGUGUUCGGGUUGUCAUGCCAAUGGCACUGCCCGGUAGCUAAAUGCGGAAGAGAUAAGUGCUGAAAGCAUCUAAGCACGAAACUUGCCCCGAGAUGAGUUCUCCCUGACUCCUUGAGAGUCCUGAAGGAACGUUGAAGACGACGACGUUGAUAGGCCGGGUGUGUAAGCGCAGCGAUGCGUUGAGCUAACCGGUACUAAUGAACCGUGAGGCUUAACCUUACAACGCCGAAG